RNAcentral lists this ribosomal RNA (382 nucleotides) under uncultured prokaryote. RNAcentral describes it as "bacterial SSU rRNA". It matches the Rfam family "Bacterial small subunit ribosomal RNA", at positions 524 to 896 of the family's 1533-position model. The record is from RNAcentral.
UACAGAGGGUGCAAGCGUUAAUCAGAAUGACUGGGCGUAAAGGGCGUGUAGGUGGUUGACUAGGUUUGAUGUGAAAUCCCCGGGCUUAACCUGGGAAUUGCGUCGAAAACGGGUCGACUCGAGUGAGAUAGAGGGUUGUGGAAUUUCCGGUGUAGCGGUGAAAUGCGUAGAUAUCGGAAAGAACAUCAGUGGCGAAGGCGACAACCUGGAUCUUAACUGACACUGAGGCGCGAAGGCGUGGGGAGCAAACAGGAUUAGAUACCCUGGUAGUCCACGCAGUAAACGAUGAGAACUGGCUGUGAUGUGUAGGGAGCAAUCUCUGCAUGACGUAGCGAAGCUAACGCGUUAAGUUCUCCGCCUGGGGAGUACGGCCGCAAGGUUA